AACGGAUGGUGAUGGUAUUUUAGACCGCGUGUAGAGAUAGCGAUAACUUUCCUGUCGAUGACCAAAUCUAUCUCGCUCAACUCAUAUCGUUUCUUGCUACUAGGUUGCAACGAAGUCCGCAGGCUUAUACGGUUACGACUCAGCUAUAACCUAUACUGCCAAUGAUAUAGCUAGAUCCCUCGCAAACACGUAUAGAAACUGGAUUUACUGCACUGCUAAUAUUCUGAAAUCGUCAUCUUGUUAGUUCCAGCUAUCAGUGCAAAUUUCAAUCUAGGUCCAUAAAAUACUUCACUAAAGCGGGCCGUACUUACUAGAUGAAGCCUAUUUUUCUAGUGGAUUUUUGGGGAACUGACACGCUAACAACUAUUCACGACCAGUUUAUAUCAUCACGCGAACAUCACCCGCUACUAACUAUGUUAUAUGGAGCGGGACAUAGAUCGUCGUAACAAGCCAGCCAAUGAUGCCGUUCGAAACCAGACGCCUAACGGCAGACUAUAUACAUUCUGUCGCUUAUUAAGUAAAUUCUAUAAUUCGAACUUCAAGGUUGUUUGCAGGUGACAGAACAGACCGUCCAGUCUGAGUAUUUCCACUCGAAUUCCGGUAGCCUAGUGGCAUUCGACUGGGGCAGGGUAUACUCGAUGCUUAUGCCGGGAUUCUCAGACUGGAACAACAGCUGAAAAAGCCGCCGACAUCGACAACAUACAAAUGAAUGGAUAUCUGUUCAUAGUACGAACCUAAAGCGUUGCUCGUCCUAGUAGUUUGCAGUUGACACCUCGCAAUAUUAUACCCCUCGCGGCAAUCGACGAGACGGAAGGCAUUCACCUACCGGAAUCGACUCUUGCCGCCUCGUUCUUUGAUGCGUGGCUUAUUUUCAGAAAAGUUCGUCGAACAAAGGUAAAAUUCUCCAUCGCUACCUUGUAUCGCGAUAUAAUUCGUUGAUUCGCUGACCUCCUCGAUUCGAAUAUUGCGUGCUCC
Varroa destructor (honeybee mite) is the source of this 975-nucleotide long non-coding RNA. The record is from RefSeq and is a predicted model, not a curated record. NCBI's taxonomy places the organism in Eukaryota, Metazoa, Arthropoda, Arachnida, Mesostigmata, Varroidae.